GAUCGGGGUUCUGUAGAGAAUUGAGACAAUUUGGGGUAUGUUGGGGAGAGAAGAAGGAGAUGUUUUUUUUUGAGAAAUAGAAGAAGGAGAUGUUGAGAGAGGGAGAAAGGGAAGAGGAGAGUAGCGAUUAAAAGAAGAGAAAAAAAAUUGGAGAAGAUGAGAGGAGGAAGAAGAAGGAUAAUUGAGGAGAAAGAAAAUUAUUAAUUAAUUUUAUUGAUG
RNAcentral lists this long non-coding RNA (219 nucleotides) under Ananas comosus (pineapple). RNAcentral describes it as "long non-coding RNA (ACOM_LNC007350)". Lineage: Eukaryota; Viridiplantae; Streptophyta; Magnoliopsida; Poales; Bromeliaceae. The record is from RNAcentral.